UACGUAGGCAGCGAGCGUUGUUCGGAAUUACUGGGCGUAAAGAGUGUGUAGGCGGUGCUCUAAGUUCGGUGUGAAAUCUCCCGGCUUAACUGGGAGGGUGCGCCGGAAACUGGAGUGCUCGAGCGUGGGAGAGGAAAGCGGAAUUCCUGGUGUAGCGGUGAAAUGCGUAGAUAUCAGGAGGAACACCUGCGGUGUAGACGGCUUUCUGGACCAUUGCUGACGCUGAGACACGAAAGCGUGGGCAGCAAACAGG
This 253-nucleotide ribosomal RNA is filed under the name uncultured bacterium. RNAcentral's name for it is "partial 16S ribosomal RNA". It matches the Rfam family "Bacterial small subunit ribosomal RNA", at positions 524 to 776 of the family's 1533-position model. The record is from RNAcentral.